RNAcentral lists this long non-coding RNA (227 nucleotides) under Vitis vinifera (wine grape). Its description in RNAcentral is "long non-coding RNA (VVIN_LNC001118)". Lineage: Eukaryota; Viridiplantae; Streptophyta; Magnoliopsida; Vitales; Vitaceae. The record is from RNAcentral.
GUGUACCCGAAAUGCCAAGCAAAGUUACAAUAGUCAAAAUCUGUGGUUUCAACAAAGCAAUUCUGAUGCCUUAAUGUUAACUUCUAGGAGGGCAUACCGAUUCCAGUUUCAGCAAUUUUGUAUUCAUUUCUGGUUUCUGAUUCAACAAACCCGUCCCUCUUCUCAACCCAACUAAAACCAGGCUUCUUAUGGACCCCUUACUCCGUCAUCACCUUCCUAAUAUUCUC